Molecule: ribosomal RNA, 433 nt
Filed under: uncultured bacterium
Lineage: Bacteria
Description: partial 16S ribosomal RNA
Rfam family: Bacterial small subunit ribosomal RNA
Source: RNAcentral
AACGAACGCUGGCGGCAUGCCUAACACAUGCAAGUCGAACGAGACCUUCGGGUCUAGUGGCGCACGGGUGCGUAACGCGUGGGAACCUGCCCUUAGGUUCGGAAUAACUCCCCGAAAGGGGUGCUAAUACCGGAUAAUGUCUUCGGACCAAAGAUUUAUCGCCUUUGGAUGGGCCCGCGUUGGAUUAGCUAGUUGGUAGGGUAAAAGCCUACCAAGGCGACGAUCCAUAGCUGGUCUGAGAGGAUGAUCAGCCACACUGGGACUGAGACACGGCCCAGACUCCGACGGGAAGCAGCAGUGGGGAAUAUUGGACAAUGGGCGAAAGCCUGAUCCAGCAAUGCCGCGUGAGUGAUGAAGGCCUUAGGGUUGUAAAGCUCUUUUACCCGGGAUGAUAAUGACAGUACCGGGAGAAUAAGCUCCGGCUAACUCCGUG